RNAcentral lists this unclassified non-coding RNA (144 nucleotides) under rhizosphere metagenome. RNAcentral's name for it is "partial ribosomal RNA internal transcribed spacer region". The record is from RNAcentral.
GUAGGUGAACCUGCGGAAGGAUCAUUACUGUGAAUUAACUUCCACACAUGCGUGAGCGCACAAAACACAUAAACCGUGAGUAUUUCUAGUCGAAACUUGAAAAAAAAAAAUACAAAACUUUCAACAACGGAUCUCUUGGUUCUC